Non-coding RNA from Notechis scutatus (mainland tiger snake), 867 nucleotides. NCBI's taxonomy places the organism in Eukaryota, Metazoa, Chordata, Lepidosauria, Squamata, Elapidae. The record is from RefSeq and is a predicted model, not a curated record.
AGAGUAGGCAUGAGUCUGUUAAACACAGUUAUGGUCACAAAUACUACAGUAAUAAUUUAAGUAAACCAUUAACUUUCUAUAAUUACUGUAAAAUAAUCCACCCUUCAAUGGGAACUCAACUAAUCUUUAAUACUAGGUGCUUCAGUCUAAAAAGAACAUUGAUAAACAAAGAUUUUUUAAAGGAUUGGGGAUGGAGUCUAUAAAAGAACUGGAUAUGCUUAAUCUGGAAGGAAGAAAACUGAGGGGAGCCUUGUUACUUGUCCUAUCACUGCCAAAUAUUUUUUAUCAUAGACAGUGUGCCCUCACUAGAAAGGUACUGACAAUGGCAUGCUUAGACACUUUGCCCUCUAUGAUAAUGAUAGGAAUCUUUAACAAUAUCUCCAACCACGACUGCUUAUGCAAAUGCUUAUGCAAAUUGAGACAGUUUACAUGUACUUCUUAAAUGCCCUAUUAAUCAUUCUCAGAGGGCAGAGCUAAUCACUCUUCUAAUCUUAAAUUAUUCAGGCUGGUCUCAAUGGGCAAUUAUGUACAUCCUAUUAAAUGACCAGGCCUGUCAUCUGAAAAAUGGCCAAAUUCAGUGCUAUAGAAAUAAGUUUGUUAUAUAGUAGUUUGUAUGCUCUAUUUCUACCGCAAACAGAAUUGUUAUACUGGAUGGUAUACAUUUUGAUCUAUGUCUGUAAUAAACUAAAACAAUAUAAUAAUACAGUGGAUGCUCUAUGGUAGUUUAUUAUAGGAAUAUGCAAAAUUCAAUCAUUUGGAAACUUUUCUGUUGUUUUCCUCUUCAAAAUGCUAUAUAGUAGAGUGCUGUAAGUAAAAUCAGCUUGUAGAUUUUCCAGAAGAAGAAACAGACAGUGGUAAAGAACUGUG